RNAcentral lists this long non-coding RNA (1166 nucleotides) under Olea europaea subsp. europaea. Lineage: Eukaryota; Viridiplantae; Streptophyta; Magnoliopsida; Lamiales; Oleaceae. The record is from RNAcentral.
AUGAAACGGAUUUCAAUCAUUUAUUUCUAGAAAGUGAGUUAAUUGGAUUCAUUUUGCAGGUUUAAUAUUCGAACCAUGUAAUAAUUCAUGAAAAAUAUGCAAUUAUAAUUCUAUGAAUUGCUGUUGAACAUUAUGGCAUCGGACCGUAGUUGGAUGUUGAAUAGGUCAGAUGAUGGAUUUCUUUCUGAUAGAUUCAUUGGAGGUGUUGAAAAGUUCAUUGAAUUUGCCAUGUCUCGAACAAGAGAUGGAGAUAUGAUCAAAUGUCCAUGUUCUAUAUGUAAAAACACAAGGUUUCUCAUAGGAGAUGAUGUGAAAUUUCACCUUUACAAAAAUGGAUUUACAAGGGGCUAUACACAAUGGAACGCGCAUGGAAAACCAUUCAGUUUCAAUUGUCCAAAUUUGGUUGAAUCCUCAACUACACAAGCUACAACCAUUGAGAGCCAUGAAGCAAUGGUGUUAGACGCGAUGGGCACUGAAAUGUACCAUGAUUACAUCAAUCCUAAUAUUUGUGGUCAUGAGGAACAAACCCCAAAUCAACAUGCCGCAAAUUUCUUUACACUAUUGGAAGAAGCUAACAAACCUAUGUGGCCUGGUUGUAGUAGGCACACAAACCUUUCUAUUAUGGCAUGACUCUUGAAUCUGAAGUCUGAGUUUAAUAUGCCGACAGCAUGUUAUGAUCGUAUGCUGUCUAUAAUUAAAGAAAUUAUGCCAGAAGAUGAUCGCUUAGAAGCUACGUUCUAUAAAACAAAGAAAAUGUUAUCCAGUCUUGGCUUUGGUGUUAUGAAGAUCCAUACUUGUGUGAAUGAUUGCAUGUUGUACUACAAAGAAAUCGAGAGCAUGACUCAGAGUCCUACGUGUUUUAGUCCACGAUACAAAGAGAAGAUGUCUCGAUCUGGACAUAGGGUACCUCAAAAGGUACUUCGAUAUCUACCUCUAACUUCUAGGCUUCAGUAAUUGUAUAUGUCAAGACAAACUGUAGAGCACAUGUUAUGACAUUCGAAGAAUCAAUUCAAUGAUAAUGAAAUGUCACACCCCGUACAUAGUGAGGCAUGUAAGUACUUUGAUAGAACUUUUCCUCAAUUUUUCCUUGAACCACGUAGUGUGUGCCUCAGUUUAUGUAUGGAUGGUUUCAACCCUUUUAGCAUGUCAAAUGUGUAAUACACUUG